GCCCAGUUCCAGCGCGGCCCGGUAGUGCCCGGCCGCCGCGGCCUGCCGGAACCAGUGCUCGCCGCCGUUCAGAUCGGCGUGCUCGGCG
RNAcentral lists this transfer RNA (88 nucleotides) under Acrocarpospora corrugata. RNAcentral's name for it is "tRNA-Arg". Lineage: Bacteria; Bacillati; Actinomycetota; Actinomycetes; Streptosporangiales; Streptosporangiaceae. The record is from RNAcentral.